ACCUACGGGGCGCAGCAGUGGGGAAUAUUGCACAAUGGGGGAAACCCUGAUGCAGCGACGCCGCGUGAGUGAAGAAGUAUUUCGGUACGUAAAGCUCUAUCAGCAGGGAAGAAAGAAAGUCCUUUGGACUUUGGACGGUACCUGACCAAGAAGCCCCGGCUAACUACGUGCCAGCAGCCGCGGUAAUACGUAGGGGGCAAGCGUUAUCCGGAUUUACUGGGUGUAGAGGGAGCGUAGACGGCAUAGCAAGUCUGAAGUGAAAGCCCAAGGCUCAACCAUGGGACUGCUUUGGAAACUGUUAAGCU
This 305-nucleotide ribosomal RNA is filed under the name uncultured bacterium. RNAcentral describes it as "bacterial SSU rRNA". It matches the Rfam family "Bacterial small subunit ribosomal RNA", at positions 337 to 642 of the family's 1533-position model. The record is from RNAcentral.